Molecule: ribosomal RNA, 799 nt
Filed under: Listeria monocytogenes
Lineage: Bacteria; Bacillati; Bacillota; Bacilli; Caryophanales; Listeriaceae
Description: partial 23S ribosomal RNA
Rfam family: Bacterial large subunit ribosomal RNA
Source: RNAcentral
UUGGUUAAGUUAGAAAGGGCGCACGGUGGAUGCCUUGGCACUAGGAGCCGAAGAAGGACGGGACUAACACCGAUAUGCUUUGGGGAGCUGUACGUAAGCGUUGAUCCAGAGAUUUCCGAAUGGGGGAACCCACUAUCUUUAGUCGGAUAGUAUCCUUACGUGAAUACAUAGCGUGAGGAAGGCAGACCCAGGGAACUGAAACAUCUAAGUACCUGGAGGAAGAGAAAGAAAAAUCGAUUUCCUGAGUAGCGGCGAGCGAAACGGAAAGAGCCCAAACCAAGAAGCUUGCUUCUUGGGGUUGUAGGACACUCUAUACGGAGUUACAAAAGAAAGUUAUAAAUGAAGCGGUCUGGAAAGGCCCGCCAAAGACGGUAACAGCCCGGUAGUUGAAAUGGCUUUCCCUCCAGAGUGGAUCCUGAGUACGGCGGAACACGUGAAAUUCCGUCGGAAUCCGGGAGGACCAUCUCCCAAGGCUAAAUACUCCCUAGUGACCGAUAGUGAACCAGUACCGUGAGGGAAAGGUGAAAAGCACCCCGGAAGGGGAGUGAAACAGUUCCUGAAACCGUGUGCCUACAAGUAGUUAGAGCCCGUUAAUGGGUGAUAGCGUGCCUUUUGUAGAAUGAACCGGCGAGUUACGAUUUGUUGCAAGGUUAAGCGGAAAAAGCGGAGCCGUAGCGAAAGCGAGUCUGAAUAGGGCGCAUAAGUAACAGGUCGUAGACCCGAAACCAGGUGAUCUACCCAUGUCCAGGAUGAAGGUAAGGUAAUACUUACUGGAGGUCCGAACCCACGCACGUUGAAA